This is a long non-coding RNA of Lontra canadensis (Northern American river otter), 1433 nucleotides long. RefSeq lists it as uncharacterized. Lineage: Eukaryota; Metazoa; Chordata; Mammalia; Carnivora; Mustelidae. The transcript has 4 exons. The record is from RefSeq and is a predicted model, not a curated record.
UUUAAGGUUUGCCUUAACACGAGGCUGUAGGAAUUGAGAGAUCAAAAAGACGAUUGGAAACAGAGUUUUGCAGUUCAAGGAAUACAAAAACACUGCAAAAGAAGCUGGUCAAGUGACUCUUGCAAAAAUAGAAAAGUAGUUCGGUUUAAACUCUAGAAUCUUGCUACAGAAGGUGGAGCCUGCAGGUCCAAGUGGGAGCUAGUUGAAAAUGUAGAUAGAAUCUCUGGCCCUAACCCAGACCUACUGAAUCAGUACAUGCAUUUCAACUAAAUCCUAAUGAUUUGUACACAGGUUACAGUUUGAGAAACACAGCUCUAGAGAUAACUGGCAAAGCAAGAAUGUGGGCACCGGGCUUCAGGAGGUGGAGGCAUUCUUUACCAUGAGGAUAAAAGCCACACAUUAAGGAUGGAAGAGCAGUGAAGACAUGAUGAAGCUGCUGUACCAGUUAUGGCUGCCUACUUCCCAAGGAAAUAUGUAGGCUUACCUGAAACUUUCUCCUCAAGGCCCGAGUCAUUACUGGAGUCAGCCCAGAUCCUGUGUCCAUGUUUUCUUUAUUGACUUAAAAUAACACAAAACAACAAUACUCUGAAUGAAGAUGUUUAGGAGAGCCUCAGAGGAAGUAAGCAAUCUUGUGGUUGCCUGAAAAAAAGAUUAAACCUCAUCACAUCCAUGCCCAGGACUUUCUAUGGAGAGAUGUCACUGAGAACCUCUAUCUAAGGUCCAGAGUUCACUGGGUGAAAUCCCGGGAAUCUGAGACUUCCAUGGUAACUUCCUCUUCUUGUCUCCAUCUGCCCCUUGCAGCCCUCCCCCAAUUCUGUUCCCUCUCUCCCUUUGAUGUCUUUUGUUAGACAUCAGACUGACACAGAGAACUGGUCUCCUGCCUCCUUUUUUCCUAUAUUCACCAAGCACUCAGUUAUAAAAAUAGACUUCAGAAAGGAGCUGGACAUUCUGGUUUAAACUUGGUAGAUUGGCUCUAUUCCUUUAUCUCCACUCCAAUAGUGUGCUGGGGUUGGCAACAACUGAUACAUUUUCAGGAAGUCUGUGAAUUAGUUGUGAAACACAUCCACCAUUAAAAUUAAAUUAUAUAAAUUAUAUAAUAUAUUACAUAUAUUAUAUAUAACAUUAUUACAUUAUAAAAUAUAUAUUAUAUAUAUUGAUGCAAAGCUCAUUACUUCCUAAUGAUUUUACUAUUAUUUAUGCUGUUGAGGUUGUUUACAUUAUUGUAUCUAUAUAGUGAAAAUGCUAUAAAAUGCUAAUUUCUUUCCAAUUCCAUAUUCAGUGACUACACAUUGAAAUCUUGAAAUUGGCUAUGAUGGGAGUAUUUACACCGUGGACAUAACACCACAAAUCAGGGCUUGAUUCAUUAUGCUGUUGAUUGUUAAGAGAGUGAUAAAGAAAAUGUUAAUAAUGCAGGUUAGAUUUAAAAGCAAAUC